Molecule: non-coding RNA, 21 nt
Filed under: Caenorhabditis elegans
Lineage: Eukaryota; Metazoa; Nematoda; Chromadorea; Rhabditida; Rhabditidae
Source: RNAcentral
UGAGUGACAACUUUCCCGAUU